Molecule: ribosomal RNA, 579 nt
Filed under: uncultured bacterium
Lineage: Bacteria
Description: bacterial SSU rRNA
Rfam family: Bacterial small subunit ribosomal RNA
Source: RNAcentral
ACGGGUGAGUAAUGUCUGGGGAUCUGCCCGAUAGAGGGGGAUAACCACUGGAAACGGUGGCUAAUACCGCAUAACGUCGCAAGACCAAAGAGGGGGACCUUCGGGCCUCUCACUAUCGGAUGAACCCAGAUGGGAUUAGCUAGUAGGCGGGGUAACGGCCCACCUAGGCGACGAUCCCUAGCUGGUCUGAGAGGAUGACCAGCCACACUGGAACUGAGACACGGUCCAGACUCCUACGGGAGGCAGCAGUGGGGGAUAUUGCACAAUGGGCGCAAGCCUGAUGCAGCCAUGCCGCGUGUAUGAAGAAGGCCUUCGGGUUGUAAAGUACUUUCAGCGGGGAGGAAGGCGAUAAGGUUAAUAACCUUGUCGAUUGACGUUACCCGCAGAAGAAGCACCGGCUAACUCCGUGCCAGCAGCCGCGGUAAUACGGAGGGUGCAAGCGUUAAUCGGAAUUACUGGGCGUAAAGCGCACGCAGGCGGUCUGUUAAGUCAGAUGUGAAAUCCCCGGGCUUAACCUGGGAACUGCAUUUGAAACUGGCAGGCUUGAGUCUCGUAGAGGGGGGUAGAAUUCCAGGUGUA